This is a long non-coding RNA of Callithrix jacchus (white-tufted-ear marmoset), 4851 nucleotides long. RefSeq lists it as uncharacterized. The record is from RefSeq and is a predicted model, not a curated record. Lineage: Eukaryota; Metazoa; Chordata; Mammalia; Primates; Cebidae.
UCUUGUUACCCAGGCUGGAGUGCAAUGGCGCGAUCUUGGCUCACCGCAACCUCCGCCUCCUGGGUUCAGGCAAUUCUCCUGCCUCAGCCUCCUGAGUAGCUGGGACUACAGGCACGUGCCACCAUGCCCAGCUAAUUUUUUGUAUUUUUAGUAGAGACGGGGUUUCACCAUGUUGACCAGGAUGGUCUCGAUCUCUUGACCUCGUGAUCCACCCGCCUCGGCCUCCCAAAGUGCUGGCCAAACUCCUUUUUAAAAGUUCAAAUUCUUGCUCUGUGCUCUGAGCUAUAAAUAUGCUACCAUUUUACCUAAAACUUGUAAGGGCUUUGGCCAUAACUUGUUCCAUUUACAGAGGCACAAUUUAGUCCAACUGUCCUUCUGAUCUAGUGAGUUUUACUUGUCUAGUAAAACUCACUAGAUCAGAACGACAGUUGGAGCAAACUCCCUCUGCAAAUAAUGCUAAAUGUGUGUCUGUAAAUGGCACUCCGUAAAUGGACACUAAAAUUUUAUGGCUAAAAUUUUAAAAUCCAAGCUAUAAAAUCUUGAUUUGUGUUUUUCUGUAUUUUUAUGCAUACAUAAAUUUAUGUCAUAUCAUCUACAUGGUACCAAAUUAACUUAUAAAUAAAUGAGUGUUCAUAAGUUAAUAAACCCAACUGCUUUUCAAGCUUGGUAUGUUAAAUUACAUGGGAAACACUGUCAAAUAAGAAACGGGGCUUAACUUCCUUUGAGUUGUAUUUGUAUGGAUGUUAUUCAUAUGUGUUCCAAAAUUGUAUGAGAUUGCUAGACUCUGAUAGGUCUUAGUGUAUGCAGUAAAUUUCCUUAUUCUGAUGCUUUUACUGUAAAAGCUUUUUGCAAAUCCUUAAGGGUUGCAUCUUCAAGGAAAUUUAUGGAAAGGACCUUUGAUCCUGACAAGUACUCUGGAAUCCAGGUUUCUGGUAACUCUGGAGAGUGUAGCACUGGACUAGGUAAAAACCUUCAAAACUCUAAUUUUAGCACUGAUGAGUUCAUGAAGAUUGCUAACCCACCAUCAAGCAGAACAAAAAUGAUGACAUGGGACUGAAAUGAUGUCCUAUGACUCUUUGUUUGAAACCGGGUUCAUUUGCUUUCAGGCUGCUGGUCAAGACAUAGCCGAGACUGGGAAAAAAGAGCUUUAAUUGCACCUACAGUUCCACAUGGCGGGGAAGGCCUCACAAUCAUGGAGGGAGGUGAAAGGCACUUCUUAUAUCACAGCAGCAAGAGAAAAUGAAGAAGAAGCAAAAAUGGAAAGCCCUGAUAAACCCAUCAGGUCUCAUGAGAUUUAUUCACUAACAGGAGAACAGCACGGGAAAGAUCAGCCCCGGUGAUUCCAUUACCUCCCUCUGGUCCCUCCCACAACUGGUGGGAAUUCUAGGAGAUACAAUUCAAGUUGAGAUUUGAAUGGGGACACAGUCAAACCAUAUCAGAAACAUUGUUGAUUCUUUUCAUAUUUUGUUUUCCAGAGCCAAGAAAACAUUUUUGGAGCUAUUUAUAGUUUACAGCAAUUUGGUAAAGUAUACAUUUGUAAGCAAAAUUGAAACAUUUCCUGUCUACUUGAAUUCUCCAAAAUUUGGAAACUAUUCACUAGUAUUCUCAUUCUAUGGCAAUAUGGAUUUUUGUACAAGUUUUGUAAAAAUCUCUUUUCUUUUUGUAACAGGAAACAUUGGAAACACUGGUUAUUUAUCAAGGCUCUGACUGGAAUGUCGUAUUUUCAAAGGUGACCAGGUUGCUUUGGCGGAUUGAGGUCGACUCUAUAGGCCAAUAGCCUUGGAAAAAGACUGGCCUGGCACCUUGUCUAGACGGUUCCCUUACAGUGUUUCUGACCUUGUGGUACAUCUUUAUCAGAAGUGUUAAAAUAAACAAAUACAGUAACUUGGUAUCAGAAGUGGGGCAUUUUUGAAAAGAUACCCAAAACUGUGGAAGCAACUUUGGAAGUGGGUAACAGGCAGAGGUUAGAACAGCUUGGAGGACUCAGAAAAAGACAGGAACAUUUGGGAAAGUUUGAAACUCCCUAGAGACUUGUUGAAUGGCUUUGCCCAAAAUGCUGAUAGUGAUAUGGACAAUAAGGUGGUCUCCAGGCUGAGGUGGUCUCAGAUGGAGAUGAGGAACUUGUUGGGAACUGGAGUAAAGGGGACUCUUGUUAUGUUUUAGGAAAGAGAUUGGCGUCGUUUUGCCCCUGCCCUAGAGAUUUGUGGAAUUUAAAACUGGAGAAAGAUGAUUGAGGGUAUCUGGCAAAAGAAAUUUCUACACAGCAAAGCAUUCAAGAAGUGAUUGGGGUACUACUGAAGGCAUUCAGGUGUAUAAGGGAAGCAGAGCAUAUAAGUUCAGAAAAUGUGCAGCCAGACAAUGCAAUAGGAAAGAAAAUCCCAUUUUUUGAGGAGAAAUUCAAGCUGGCUGCAGGAAUUUACAUAAAUAGCAAGGAGCCUAAUGUUAAUCCCCAAGACCAGGCUAUGUCAGAGACCUUCACAGCAGCCCCUCCCAUCACAGGCCCACAGGCCCAAGAGGAAAAAGUGGUUUUACGGGCUGGGCCCAGGAUCCCUGUGCUGUGUGCAGUCUAGGGACUUGGUGCCCUGUGUCCCAGCUGCUCCAGCUGUGGCUGAAAGGGGCCAAUGUACAGCUCAGGCCAUGGCAUCAGAGAGGGCAAGCCCCAAGCUUUGGCAGCUUCCAUGUGGUGUACACAGAAGUCAAGAACUGAGGUUUGGGAACCUCAGCCUAGAUUUCAGAAAAUGUGUGGAAACGCCUGGAUGCUCAGGCAAAAGUUUGCUGCCGGCACAGGGCCCUCAUGGAGAACCUCUGCUAGGGCAGUGCAGAAGGAAAAUGUGGGGUCACAGCACCCACACAGAGUCUCUCCUGGGGCACUGCCUAGUGGAUGGAGCUAUGAGAAGAGGUCCGUUGUCCUCCAGAUCCCAGAAUGGUAGAUCCACUGGGAGCUUGCAGCAUUUACCUGGAAAAGCCACAGACAUUCAACAGCAGCCCAUGAAAAGCAACCAGGAGGGAGGCCAUACCCUGCAAAGCCAUAGGAGCAGAGCUGCCCAAGACCAUGCGAGGCCACCUUUUGCAUCAGUGUGACCUGGAGUCAAAGGAGGUCAUUUUGGAGCUUUAAAAUUUGAUUGCCCAGUCAACAGCGUCAACAGUCAUGGGCACUGGUGAAGUUCUGGAAUUGUGUAUUCCGUGAGUAUGCCUGCUGAGCACAUCGCCUCUUAACAAACCCUCUAGAGUGGUUCCCAUGGCACCCCCUAUUGAUGUGCCAAAACGUCAUCUCCGCAUGGCUGAGGGAGUUCUACAAAGACAUCUUGAAAGCAUUGUCCUGCAUGUGCCCUGUUUGGGACAUCUGAGGGAAGCCUGAAGGCUACAGUUAAUUACGAAUAAAACCUUUAAAUCAGUGGGUAGGAAGAAUGAACUUUACUGUGAACAUUUUUUGAAGAAUGAAUAUUAACAUGAUUAUUAUCAAGAGUUUUAAAUGACAUAAAUGCUUGUAAAAUUGUCUCAAGUGUUAACUGCAAAAUACAAAAGUGUAUUGAAGUGUGAUCUCAACUUUGUAAGUAUAGACACAAAUAUUUAUGGAGAGCUGCAUAGGAGAUUGAAAGGAAAUAUGCCACAAUGUUUACAGUGAUUGUUUCUAGAAAGGGGAUAUGAACCAUUGUGUUUAUAUCCCUGUUCUUUUAAAGUGUUCUGUAAGUAGGUGUUACUCUUAGAAUUAUAAAAAGUAAUAUAUUUUUCUUUAGAGACUUUAUUUGUGGAUUUUGUUUGAAGAGUUAUACAUUUGUAUGAUUCAAAUAUCAAAAUGUUUUAAGAGGGUAAACUUUGAGAAGUCUUACUGAGGGUGGAGACAGGACGUGACUCAGGAGGCAGGACUCAAUCAACUUCAGAAGCAGGGCCCAGUCACCGGACCAAAUUGAGGACUAACUAAAACGAGGAGGAGGAGGGAGCACCUUUCCAUAAGACAUACCCACCAGUGUGUCAUGUCAGUUGACCCUGUUGCCAUGGCAACCGCCAGAAGUUACCACUUCAUUCCAUGGCAACGACCCAACAACCCAGACAUUACCAUCCUUUUUCUAGAAAUGUCUGCAUAAUCUGCCCCUUAGUUUGCACAUAAUUAACGGUGGGUAUAAAUAUGACUGCAGCACUGCCUCUGGGCACCUAUUCUUGGCCCACUGCCUAUGGGGUGGCCCUAUGCUGCAGGAAGCAGUACCUCUGCUGCUGCUGUACACUGUUGGUUCAAUAAAAGUUGCUAAUACCAAAAAAAAAAAAAUUUUUUUAAAUUUGACCGCCCAGCUGGAUUUUGGAUUUACAUAGGCCCCCUUUGUUUUGUUGGCCCAUUUCUCCCAUUUGGAAUGGCUGUAUUUACCCAAUGCCCGUAUCCCCAUCAUAUCCAGGAAGUAACUAGCUUGCUUUUAAUUUUACGGGCUCAUAGUUGGAAGAGAUUUGUUAUGUCUCAGAUGAAACUUUAGACUAUGGACUUUUGGGUUAAUACUAAAAUGAGUUAAGACUUUGGGGGACUGCUGGGAAGGCAUGAUUGGUUUUGAAAUGUGAGGAUAUGAGAUUUGGAGGGGUCAUGAUCUCUGGAAUGAUAUGGCUUGGCUGUGUUUCCACCCAAAUCUCAACUUGAAUUGUGUCUCCCAGAAUUCCCACCUGUUGCGGGAGGGACCUAGGGGAGGGAAUUGAAUCAUGGGGGCCAGUCUUUCUUGUGCUAUUCUUAUGAUAGUGAAUAAGUCUAAUGAGAUCUGAUGGGUUUGUCAUGGGUUUCUGUUUUUGAUUCUUUCUCAUUUUUCUCUUGCCACCAUCAUGUAAAAAGUGCUUUUUGCCCCCAUCAUGAUUAAACUUUUUUUCUUCCCAGUU